GAUGUGCAGGAAUGAUGAAUCAAUUAGAUGUGCAGGAAUGAUGAGUCACUCAUACCUAGCAAUAAGAUAACACAGGGUAUAUU
This 83-nucleotide small nucleolar RNA is filed under the name Oryza sativa Indica Group (long-grained rice). RNAcentral's name for it is "Small nucleolar RNA Z266". The record is from RNAcentral. Lineage: Eukaryota; Viridiplantae; Streptophyta; Magnoliopsida; Poales; Poaceae.